UACAGAGGGGGCAAGCGUUUGUUCGGAAUUACUGGGCGUAAAGGGCGCGUAGGCGGCCUUCUAAGUCGAACGUGAAAUCCCCGGGCUCAACCCGGGAACUGCGUCCGAUACUGGAAGGCUUGAAUCCGGGAGAGGGAUGUGGAAUUCCAGGUGUAGCGGUGAAAUGCGCAGAUAUCAGGAGGAACACCGGUGGCGAAGGCGGGUCUCUGGGCCGAUACUGACGCUGAGGAGCGAAAGCGUGGGGAGCGAACAGG
Molecule: ribosomal RNA, 254 nt
Filed under: uncultured bacterium
Lineage: Bacteria
Description: partial 16S ribosomal RNA
Rfam family: Bacterial small subunit ribosomal RNA
Source: RNAcentral